AAAGGCGCUUUCGGGUGUCGCUGAUGGAUGGACCCGCGGUGCAUUAGCUAGUUGGUGAGGUAACGGCUCACCAAGGCCACGAUGCAUAGCCGACCUGAGAGGGUGAUCGGCCACAUUGGGACUGAGACACGGCCCAAACUCCUACGGGAGGCAGCAGUAGGGAAUCUUCGGCAAUGGACGAAAGUCUGACCGAGCAACGCCGCGUGAGUGAAGAAGGUUUUCGGAUCGUAAAACUCUGUUGUUAGAGAAGAACAAGGAUGAGAGUAACUGUUCAUCCCUUGACGGUAUCUAACCAGAAAGCCACGGCUAACUACGUGCCAGCAGCCGCGGUAAUACGUAGGUGGCAAGCGUUGUCCGGAUUUAUUGGGCGUAAAGCGAGCGCAGGCGGUUUCUUAAGUCUGAUGUGAAAGCCCCCGGCUCAACCGGGGAGGGUCAUUGGAAACUGGGAGACUUGAGUGCAGAAGAGGAGAGUGGAAUUCCAUGUGUAGCGGUGAAAUGCGUAGAUAUAUGGAGGAACACCAGUGGCGAAGGCGGCUCUCUGGUCUGUAACUGACGCUGAGGCUCGAAAGCGUGGGGAGCAAACAGGAUUAGAUACCCUGGUAGUCCACGCCGUAAACGAUGAGUGCUAAGUGUUGGAGGGUUUCCGCCCUUCAGUGCUGCAGCUAACGCAUUAAGCACUCCGCCUGGGGAGUACGACCGCAAGGUUGAAACUCAAAGGAAUUGACGGGGGCCCGCACAAGCGGUGGAGCAUGUGGUUUAAUUCGAAGCAACGCGAAGAACCUUACCAGGUCUUGACAUCCUUUGACCACUCUAGAGAUAGAGCUUCCCCUUCGGGGGCAAAGUGACAGGUGGUGCAUGGUUGUCGUCAGCUCGUGUCGUGAGAUGUUGGGUUAAGUCCCGCAACGAGCGCAACCCUUAUUGUUAGUUGCCAUCAUUCAGUUGGGCACUCUAGCAAGACUGCCGGUGACAAACCGGAGGAAGGUGGGGAUGACGUCAAAUCAUCAUGCCCCUUAUGACCUGGGCUACACACGUGCUACAAUGGGAAGUACAACGAGUUGCGAAGUCGCGAGGCUAAGCUAAUCUCUUAAAGCUUCUCUCAGUUCGGAUUGCAGGCUGCAACUCGCCUGCAUGAAGCCGGAAUCGCUAGUAAUCGCGGAUCAGCACGCCGCGGUGAAUACGUUCCCGGGCCUUGUACACACCGCCCGUCACACCACGAGAGUUUGUAACACCCGAAGUCGGUGAGGUAAC
Molecule: ribosomal RNA, 1248 nt
Filed under: Enterococcus faecium
Lineage: Bacteria; Bacillati; Bacillota; Bacilli; Lactobacillales; Enterococcaceae
Description: bacterial SSU rRNA
Rfam family: Bacterial small subunit ribosomal RNA
Source: RNAcentral